This is an RNA transcript of Octopus bimaculoides (California two-spot octopus), 2744 nucleotides long. It is a transcript of the gene named U1 small nuclear ribonucleoprotein A, with no coding region annotated. NCBI's taxonomy places the organism in Eukaryota, Metazoa, Mollusca, Cephalopoda, Octopoda, Octopodidae. The record is from RefSeq and is a predicted model, not a curated record.
CGGAUGACCCACGAGGCAGAGAGAAAAGCUGCUGUUUGUAUUUGCUCUUCCGUGUGUUGAAUAAUACAUACAUAUAUAUAUAUAUAUAUGUAUAUAUAUAUAUAUUUAUUUAGCACAUAUUGUUGCUGAUAUACACUUGAAUAUCUAAGUACAGUUGUUCAUCAUAUAUUUCUGUUAAAAGCCAUUUUCAACCACUAUGGACAUCAGACCAAACCACACAAUUUAUAUUAACAAUUUGAAUGAAAGUAUUAAGAAAGAUGAACUAAAGAAAUCUUUAUAUGCAAUUUUCUCACAAUUUGGCCAAAUUCUUGACAUUGUUGCCUUAAAAACUUUGAAAUGUCGAGGACAAGCUUUUGUAAUUUUUAAAGACAUCAACAGUGCCACAAAUGCUCUCCGGUCAAUGCAAGGCUUCCCGUUCUAUGACAAACCAAUGAGAAUACAGUAUUCCAAGAAAGAUUCUGAUAUCAUUGCGAAGAUGAAAGGUACCUAUACAGAAAGACCAAAAAAGAAAAAAGAUGAUGAGCCAGAAAAUAAGAAACGCAAGAAGGGAGCUUCCCAACAGGCUGUUGCCGCUGCUGCUAAGGCCCAGGCAGCUGGUGUAGUACCACCUCCUAUCCAACCCAUUUCAGCAAUGGCUGGUCAACCAGUUCCUCAACAACCUGUACUACAACAAUUACAGCAGCCAGUUGUUCAAAAUUCUACAAAUAUGGCAGCGCCAAAUACCAUUCCAGAACAGCCUCCUAACCAAAUUCUGUUCUUAACCAACCUUCCUGAGGAAACCACAGAAAUGAUGUUGUCAAUGUUGUUCAAUCAAUUUCCUGGUUUCAAAGAGGUCCGUUUGGUGCCUGGUCGGCAUGAUAUUGCAUUUGUUGAAUUUGAAAAUGAAAUGCAAGCUGGUGCGGCAAAGGAUGCACUUCAAGGCUUCAAGAUUACACCAAACAAUGCAAUGAAAAUCACAUUUGCUAAGAAGUAGGACAAGAAAGAAGACAGUAAAAAUAUGAUGAAAGAAAUUUGGUGCAUUUCAGUAAAACUUACAAAAUAAACCAUCAAAUUCUGCACAACUUUGCUGCCAGAUGGAAUGAAAUGGACGCCUUCAGUAGUAUGUAAUCUACAAUCAACAACUGACACAUGUUGGGAUAUUAAUCUCUUGACAAUCCAACAGAAGAUGGAACUAUCAAAUUACUGAUAGCAAUCAAUAUUUCACUGUCCUACAACAGUAUGAGUGUGUUUGUGUGUGUGUAUUCAUUUGGUUUAACCAGAAUAAGGAGGAGGGUCAGGCUCCAUACAGCGGAAGGAACCGUAAAUCAUAAGAUUGCUACAGUGGAUCCUUUGUUUGGAGUCUUGGUCUAAAUGUCUGCAACAGAAUGUCCUCCAUUGAAACACCAAGCAUGAUGUGAUGGUGUUGAAGCAAGUAACCGACUGGGUCAUCCACCAACCAGGAACAGGUAAAAAGUCCAAUAAGAUUCCACACAGUUUCCCUGACCAAAUUUCAUUCACAAUUGGAUUAAUCUUAGGUUAUGUAGAGUGGAAUCGAAGUUGGAUUGGUGAAAUGAUGUAUUAUCUUUUUCAACAUCCACUUUUCUAUGCUUGCAUGGGUUAGAUGGAAUCUGUUGAGACAGAUUUUCUACAGCUGGAUGCUCUUUCUGCCACCCACCAUUACUUGUUUCCAAGUAAGAUAAUUUCUUUAUGGCCAGACAUGUUUUCGUAACAGUUUGGAAAUGAACAAAAUUGCUUGUGUGAUGAUGAUAAUGAGGCUCAUUUUCAACUAUCACGUAAUUUCAAGACAGGGAAACAAUGAUACUCACACACACAAGAUGGGCUUCCUUCAGUUUCCAUCUACCAAAUCCACUCAGAGGGCUUUUAUCGGCCUGGAGCUAUAGUAGAAGACACGUGUCCAAGGUGCCAUACAGUGGGACUGAACCCAAAACCAUGUGGUUGGGAAGCAAGCUUCUAAACUACACAGCCAUACCUGCAUUUCAUUGUAUAUUCUAUGUGAUAUGACUAUGAUACAUCAUAUAUCAUAAAUACACUUAUCAUAACUUAGGAUUUUACUAUUCAGUUCAGCCCAGCAUAGAGAAAUUAAUGGUUUCAAUUCCUUACCUGUAGGUCUCAUUGGCUUCUGGUUUAGGGAUGAUUAUCAGACACACACAUAGUACUGUAUAAGAUCCAAUACGUGUGAUUUUUUUGAGAAAUUUUAGCAGAAAUAUUCAAAUCAAUUCACAGGAACUGCAAGCCCCAACCUUGAGAAAAAUCUGGUAGAACUCUCAGACACAUCUGCAACAUUCCAGAACACUGCUAUAACUCAGUUUUAAUAAAUGUUAUCUUUCCUACUCAUAAAAACACACAUACCCACAAAAACAACUGUAGCUUCUGUGUCUUUGUUAACCUUCAGCAUUGUGCAAAGUUACAUGAUACCAUUGGUGGUAGGUGCAGAGGAAUGGGAAUUAUUGUAUUCCAACCAAGUUGAUCUGGUCCAUCUCUGCUGUACCCAGCUCCAGAAUCUGUACUUACACAGAAAUUAAUUGGACAAUGGAGAAAAGGUAACAUGUUCAUAUUAUUAUCACUCAGUAGUCCCUUUGAUAAACAUCAUUAUGUUUCUCUGUCCUGUGUGUUUUGUACCAGACUGAGGUAUGGUGUUUGGAUCAUCGGUUUUCUAAGUCUCAGUAGUUUGACCAAUUCUCAGUAUAUCAUCUAAGCUAUUUCAAUCUGUGACAAUAACUAAUAAAAACUAUUCAAUUUACAUA